This 89-nucleotide transfer RNA is filed under the name Tremella mesenterica. It matches the Rfam family "tRNA". From Rfam's summary of the family: Transfer RNA (tRNA) molecules are approximately 80 nucleotides in length. Their secondary structure includes four short double-helical elements and three loops (D, anti-codon, and T loops). The record is from Rfam by way of RNAcentral. RNAcentral also lists the same sequence under 1 other name. Lineage: Eukaryota; Fungi; Basidiomycota; Tremellomycetes; Tremellales; Tremellaceae.
GUCCGCAUGGUGUAGUGGUUUAGCAUUUCUCUUUCCGGGCCAUGGAUGGGGAAUGGAGACGGUCCGGGGUUCGAAUCCCUGUGUGGAUU